CUAAUACAUUGAGCGUGUUGCAGCAUUGGUUUAUUCCAGCUGGUGUUGUGUAAAACAUAUUUUACAAAGGAAUGGUACUCAAAAACGUGUUAUGCAACAGAAUAUGGCACGUCGGCAUAAUGUUUGAGCUUUUACUUGCUUUGGCAUUUUUUUAAUUGCUGUUAUUGCUUAUUAAAAAAAAAUGCAAUGCAGAGGCUGAGCCACCCUGAGAUUUGUCGACUCUGCAUGCAGACAUGUGCGACAGCAGCCUACGUGAAGCGAAAGGCUUGCAGAUUAAGCUAACCUCGAGGCGUCCCCCAAACAGCCUGGCGACAGUGCUGAUUGUGCUCGUUAGUUUAAAGUGUAAUUGGUCAUGGGCAGCCAGUGGCCUUCUCGCACGACAGACGUUUUUACUAUGAACAUCACGUUCCGACAGUUUUACGCGCGCCGCAGCCCGAAACGCAUCGCUCCUCUGUUUUAAGUCACGUGAAAAAUAAAAGAAACGGGAGCACGCCAGAGAAAUGGAUUUUUUUUCUCCCUUUCUUUUGGAGUGCGAUAGUGGCAUGUCAGGACAGCUCCCCAUGCGAGUGCAGAUCGACAUUCGAGUCGGGUUUCGUGUUACCUGCUCCAUUACUGUGCUAACAAGGCAGACAGGGUGGCACAAUGGACAUACCCUCCACCCACCCCCCCAUUGUCAGAAAGCCGAGGGGCCAGUCGUGUAAUAAGCUGCCGACAGCUCCAUCAGCAAGUGUGGGGCUCUGCCAUGUGACAAGCUGAUGAGCGGUCAGUGCAGGUUGGUGGAGGGAGACUCGGGAAAGGUUCAUACGUCACUCGGCACUGAUGAAUCAACCUCAAGUCUAUAUUUUUUACCAGACAACAGUGCUUUCUUCAAUACAGACGAUCAAGGUGUCCCAGUGGCCCAGAGGACAGCGCGCUGAGCUGGUACCACUCAUCUCCUGGGUGAUGGAGACACAAAGCAACAAAAAGCCAACAGGGAGACAAUUCAACUUUUCCAUCUGUCAGCCAUGACCUAUCCACUGCUGGAUGAAGAGCUCACCAAGCCGUGGCCAUCUGUAAUGGUCUCACAAAACAACAAUAUAUCUAACUCCUGCAGACGAGGUUAUUUUAUUGCUACAUCUCCAUGGUAGUCACUCUUGGACGUGUGCUGGUCUUUUGCUGAAACUCUGUUGUUAGUCUCAAUCAUUCUUUAUUAUUAUUUACAGUAACACGUUCUUUGCCAAGCCCACUUUUGUUAGCAGCCAAAGUUGUGACUUUAACUUGCGUGUGUUCGCUAAUCCAUGUUUUCCUCAUUCCGUCUCGGUUUCCAAGCAUGCAUCUCAACCAUGUUUUAUUGCACACUUUUCAGCUUUUUGCUUUUUCUUUGUCAACGAAUGAUUCCAAUCCAUGUCACCGCAAACACAAAUGCACGCUUAAAAGAUUCUACAUGCACGUUGCUUUGUUGCUUUGCAUGAUUAAGUUCAGUUUCUAAAAGCACUUCAACCUGCUCCCAUCUGCCUCUUUACUUCAUCCAUUUGAUGCUAGUCCACCGAUAAUAACGUUCAUAGGUAACAAAAAAUAUUCUGUCUUCUCCAGUUGGGUCCCUCCAACUGAUAUCCACAACUGUUUUAGGAAACUUGUUAUAGGUGACUUUAGUUUUGCUCAUUGUUUUUCGGAGCCCAAAUGUUCAUUCUUUUAUGAACAAUGAUAAUAAUGAUAAUUAAAAUGUGUAAUAUGCCACAAAGUAUUCACUCACUUUCGAAGAGAGAAUGACUCAGAGGCGAGAGAGAGAGAAAAAAAUCACAGAUGAGCGAGAAAUACAGCAAGACAGUGAACCGACAGAAAACUUCUACUCCCUCCCCCCCCCCAAGGUCUGCCAUCCUCUACAUAUGAAGAUGUUAUCGGCAAAUUGAGUGUUUACAUGGAUAAAACCCACGUGUGCAUGGAGGCGAUACUAAUGCAUACAGAUAGAAAAGGUGAAGUCCACAUUUGCUGGAACGCCUUCUCCUGAAAACCCAGAGUAUGGCCCCUUGCUCACAGGGAGUUCCACACCGUUUGUGUGAUUGACCAACCCUCACCUCCAAAAUGCUCGAUUGCAGGCAUGCAUCACCCCCAAUGAAUGUCUUAUAUCAUAUCCUGCAGUUCAUUCUGAUUGUGCAGUUUUCAUUUGUUUGGUGAAAGCUGCAACAUAAAGAUAAAGGAAAACUCGUGUAAAACAAGUUCCCAAAACUGCUCCAUACCCUUUGACAAAAGCAAGUUAGAUAGCCCGAGGCAGUUGGAAAUAAGGAUAUAAGCCCAUGCCCAGACACUGCUGGCCUGGUGACCAAAAGCAGUCAGAAAUGAAAUGGUUUCACAGUUCACACACAUCCAACAGCAUUAAAAACAAACAAAAAGUAUGGUAACUAUACGUAGCUCACGAAACAGCUGGCUGUAGCAGCAUAGAAUGACAUUGUCAGGGCUUUGUAUUAUUUAUGAUUGUGAAUAAGGGCAACAACAGCAGUGAUGAAAGUGACAUGCAAGUGACAUGCCCAGCUUGUCUGAAAGACAACAAAGCAUGCACAUAAAAGCGUAAAUCGUCAAAUUACAGAUGUACAGAUACAUAAUGUUUAACAACUAUGUGUUUACUAAGCCGCCAUGGUAAAACAAAAUGGCAACAGAGAUGAUAUACUGUAUUGUACCAUUUGAUGUGGGAGUGGGUGCUGGGGGUCGAUCCUUUUAUCCAUCUGUUUUUUUUAAUUCGAGGUAAAACAUUUAGAAUCGCAUGCAAUAACCGCAUCGCCAAACCGAUUCUGCGCAAUGUAUUCGUGCAAAGGCUUGGAUAGCAAGACCGUUCAUAUUGUGCGCGUCGAUUAGGGAGCACAUAUAGUAGAAAUCCUGGUUAAUAGGCAUACAAGAGAAAUUUUUACUGGAAUGAGCUUCUAGGAGAAUCCCAAUGGGAUGGAGUGAUGAAACUAUCUCGCGUCCAGGCGCGAGGUGGAUUAUUUCAUCGCAAGAUUGCGAGAGGUGGUGACGGCUUUUAUCCAGCAGUGGAUUGAUCAUGGCGGAAGCUUGUUAUUGCUGCAGACUUUGUGGUGUGAGACUUGUAGAGUUGUUGCUGCUUACGUACUACUAUUCUUUUUUGCAGGAAACAUUCUUAGGAAAAUGUUUAUUUUUGCAUUAAUGUUCAAACAAAACAAAUUGCACCAUGUUAUGUAAAUAAUUAGUAUAUAUUUUCAAAAUGGUGGGUGAAACUAUAGUGAAUAUUGAAUUUGUUUUUCAAUGCACAUGUGUUAAAUCGUUUUAAUGAAUUAAAAUGUCUUGCAUCAGGUCGACGUGGGCGUUAAAAUGUUAAAAGCUCUACACACAUCAAGGAAAAACAUCGCUGUUUUUUUUGCUUAAUCUGUAUCAAAAUUCGAAAUCAAAUGCCUCCCAUGUUAAGUUACCAAAUGGAGCAGUGGCUCACAUCCGUUUAUGGCCCAAACUAAGCGGUAUAAAUUCCACAUUCCCAUGGCUGAAGCCAAUCACCACGAUGUACGACCACUGUUUACUGCUUACAAAGUCAGAACGAGUGAUGUUCCUGAAAAAAGAUAUAAAUUUCUAAAUAAAGUCAACAUCUAGAAACAAAACAUGUUAGUAAACGUACGUUCUGUUUUGGGCAUUUAAAAUAUAUGUUAAAUGCAAUUAACCACUGACACCUAGUGUUGGAAUGAAGUGCUACAAUGUAAAAAAAAACGGCGUAGUCUUCCCAUAACCCUCCUGUUCAUAUAGCACUGUAUUGAAAAUCAUCGCAACUAUGGCCAAUUCCGUUUAAAUUUUGUAUCGGGGUUACCAUCUCCGAACUACAAAAACCGGAACGUAAUGCAAAUCCGAAUAGCGGGAGUAAUCUUAUGCAAGUGACAGCUAUCUCAAAAGUGGAUGGCAAUGCUGGGGGAAACCGGGAUAGAUUACAUCCCUUGGCCACGUAUUGGGACAGCAAGCAAUUAUGUUGCGGUUCGUUUAAAAAUUCUUACGAAUUGGACUCUACAAUAACGACGCAUGUAUAACGCUGCACGAUGACGUUUAAAUGUCUUUGCAUGAAAAUAAUUAACAGAAUGGUUUUUCAAUGUGAAUGGUCAAUAAUUAUCAUGAUUUAAUCCCAACCAGAUGGAUGGCUUUGUUUUUAAAUGUAUUUUUCAUUGAGAUGUAAUUGAUGUACUUGAUUAAAAAACACUUCAAUUAAUAUUCCUUAA
Petromyzon marinus (sea lamprey) is the source of this 4184-nucleotide long non-coding RNA. RefSeq lists it as uncharacterized. NCBI's taxonomy places the organism in Eukaryota, Metazoa, Chordata, Hyperoartia, Petromyzontiformes, Petromyzontidae. The record is from RefSeq and is a predicted model, not a curated record.